This 700-nucleotide ribosomal RNA is filed under the name uncultured bacterium. RNAcentral describes it as "bacterial SSU rRNA". It matches the Rfam family "Bacterial small subunit ribosomal RNA", at positions 56 to 756 of the family's 1533-position model. The record is from RNAcentral.
UGCAAGUCGAGCGGUAGAGUGACUUCGGUUGCUUGAGAGCGGCGCACGGGUGAGUAACGCGUACAUAACCUGCCUUUAAGACCGGGAUAGCCCUGGGAAACUGGGAUUAAUACCGGAUGUGAUUACGCAUAUAGAGGUGUGUAAUUAAAGUUGAGGCGCUUAAAGAUGGGUGUGCGUCUGAUUAGCUAGUUGGUGAGGUAACGGCUCACCAAGGCGACGAUCAGUAGGGGGCGUGAGAGCGUGGCCCCCCACACGGGUACUGAGACACGGACCCGACUCCUACGGGAGGCAGCAGUAAGGAAUAUUGGUCAAUGGGCGAAAGCCUGAACCAGCCAUCCCGCGUGCAGGAUGAAGGUCCUAUGGAUUGUAAACUGCUUUUGGCAGAGAAGAAACGCCUUCAUUUAUGAGGGUCUGAGGGGGGUCUGCAGAAUAAGCACCGGCUAACUCCGUGCCAGCAGCCGCGGUAAUACGGAGGGUGCGAGCGUUAUCCGGAAUCACUGGGUUUAAAGGGUGCGUAGGCGGGGAAUUAAGUCAGUGGUGAAAGCCUGUCGCUUAACGAUAGAAUUGCCAUUGAUACUGAUUUUCUUGAAUUGGGUUGAGGUUAGCGGAAUGUGACAUGUAGCGGUGAAAUGCAUAGAUAUGUCAUGGAACACCAAUUGCGAAGGCAGCUAACUGGGCCUUGAUUGACGCUGAGGCACGA